ACCAAUUCUCUUCUUCUUCCUUGGGGAUACAACCCUCCAUUUUAACUAUGUUUAUGUUUCCAAAUUCCAGUAAUCAAGCAGAUUCAGAUCCAAAUUCAUUGUUAAAUUGUUGAUUCGCAGAUCAAACUUUGUGAGUUCAGAAAAUUAUCAAGGUCCGGGCAACAGAAAGUGAAGCAGAAGAAGAAACGACUCCACGCCAGCUUUAAGAACGAUUGAGGUUGAGCAGGCGAUGGAAUGGAUUGGUGUUGAGCGGAUUUCUCUUUUGAUGUUUAUGUAAUGAAACCUUGAGUAUGCAUCUCCAUAUGCAUAACUCACACGUUUUUCCGCUGCAAACACUCUGAAUUUGUUAUUGUAUUGUGGAACUUAUUACUCCUUCAUUUUGUUUAACUUUCAUUUGGGGUUUAGUCGUUAUGGCUGGCUCGUUUGUUAAUUACCCAAGUGGUUAUAUAUAUAUAUAUACCACUAGUUUGUUGUUAUAAAUGUUGGUUAUUUAGUAAAUCCCUUUUUAAAUUCCAUUUCUUAUUGUUCACCCAAGUCAUAACCCCGGUUAACCCGUCAUUGGGAUAGUGGGCUGUGACAGAGUGGUAUCAGAGCA
This is a long non-coding RNA of Salvia miltiorrhiza (redroot sage), 595 nucleotides long. RefSeq lists it as uncharacterized. Lineage: Eukaryota; Viridiplantae; Streptophyta; Magnoliopsida; Lamiales; Lamiaceae. The transcript is spliced from 3 exons. The record is from RefSeq and is a predicted model, not a curated record.